RNAcentral lists this ribosomal RNA (468 nucleotides) under uncultured bacterium. Its description in RNAcentral is "partial 16S ribosomal RNA". It matches the Rfam family "Bacterial small subunit ribosomal RNA", at positions 28 to 507 of the family's 1533-position model. The record is from RNAcentral.
GACGAACGCUGGCGGCGUGCUUAACACAUGCAAGUCGAACGGAAAGGCCCUGCUUUUGUGGGGUGCUCGAGUGGCGAACGGGUGAGUAACACGUGAGUAACCUGCCCUUGACUUUGGGAUAACUUCAGGAAACUGGGGCUAAUACCGGAUAGGAGCUCCUGCUGCAUGGUGGGGGUUGGAAAGUUUCGGCGGUUGGGGAUGGACUCGCGGCUUAUCAGCUUGUUGGUGGGGUAGUGGCUUACCAAGGCUUUGACGGGUAGCCGGCCUGAGAGGGUGACCGGCCACAGUGGGACGGAGAUACGGCCCGGACUGCUACGGGAGGCAGCAGUGGGGAAUAUUGCACAAUGGGCGGAAGCCUGAUGCAGCAACGCCGCGUGCGGGAUGACGGCCUUCGGGUUGUAAACCGCUUUCGCCUGUGACGAAGCGUGAGUGACGGUAAUGGGUAAAGAAGCACCGGCUAACUACGUG